This 497-nucleotide ribosomal RNA is filed under the name uncultured bacterium. RNAcentral describes it as "partial 16S ribosomal RNA". It matches the Rfam family "Bacterial small subunit ribosomal RNA", at positions 28 to 507 of the family's 1533-position model. The record is from RNAcentral.
GACGAACGCUGGCGGCGUGCCUAAUACAUGCAAGUAGAACGCUGAAGGGAGGAGCUUGCUCUUCUUGGAUGAGUUGCGAACGGGUGAGUAACGCGUAGGUAACCUGCCUUGUAGCGGGGGAUAACUAUUGGAAACGAUAGCUAAUACCGCAUAACAAUGGAUGACACAUGUCAUUUAUUUGAAAGGGGCAAUUGCUCCACUACAAGAUGGACCUGCGUUGGAUUAGCUAGUAGGUGAGGUAAUGGCCCACCUAGGCGACGAUACAUAGCCGACCUGAGAGGGUGAUCGGCCACACUGGGACUGAGACACGGCCCAGACUCCUACGGGAGGCAGCAGUAGGGAAUCUUCGGCAAUGGGGGCAACCCUGACCGAGCAACGCCGCGUGAGUGAAGAAGGUUUUCGGAUCGUAAAGCUCUGUUGUAAGUCAAGAAAGGGUGUGAGAGUGGAAAGUUCACACUGUGACGGUAGCUUAACAGAAAGGGACGGCUAACUACGUG